UGGGAGCUCUCCCAUAUGGUCGACCUGCAGGCGGCCGCGAAUUCACUAGUGAUUAGAGUUUGAUCAUGGCUCAGAUUGAACGCUAGCGGCAUGCUUAACACAUGCAAGUCGAACGGUAACAGGCCUAGCUUGCUAGGUGCUGACGAGUGGCGGACGGGUGAGUAACGCGUAGGAAUCUGCCUUCUAGUGGGGGAUAACUUGGGGAAACUCAAGCUAAUACCGCAUAAGCCCUAAGGGGGAAAGCAAGGGACAGUGAUGCCUUGUGCCAGAAGAUGAGCCUGCGUCGGAUUAGCUAGUUGGUAGGGUAAAAGCCUACCAAGGCGAUGAUCCGUAGCUGGUCUGAGAGGAUGACCAGCCACACUGGGACUGAGACACGGCCCAGACUCCUACGGGAGGCAGCAGUGGGGAAUAUUGGACAAUGGGCGAAAGCCUGAUCCAGCAAUGCCGCGUGUGUGAAGAAGGCCUGCGGGUUGUAAAGCACUUUCGGUAGGGAAGAAGGCCUUAGUGUUAAUAGCACUAAGGAUUGACAUUACCUACAGAAGAAGCACCGGCUAACUCUGUGCCAGCAGCCGCGGUAAUACGAAUCGAAUUCCCGCGGCCGC
Molecule: ribosomal RNA, 602 nt
Filed under: uncultured beta proteobacterium
Lineage: Bacteria; Pseudomonadati; Pseudomonadota; Betaproteobacteria
Description: bacterial SSU rRNA
Rfam family: Bacterial small subunit ribosomal RNA
Source: RNAcentral